RNAcentral lists this ribosomal RNA (463 nucleotides) under uncultured bacterium. RNAcentral's name for it is "partial 16S ribosomal RNA". It matches the Rfam family "Bacterial small subunit ribosomal RNA", at positions 339 to 795 of the family's 1533-position model. The record is from RNAcentral.
CUACGGGGCGCAGCAGUAGGGAAUCUUCCACAAUGGGCGAAAGCCUGAUGGAGCAACGCCGCGUGAGUGAAGAAGGUUUUCGGAUCGUAAAACUCUGUUGUAAGGGAAGAACAAGUACAGUAGUAACUGGCUGUACCUUGACGGUACCUUAUUAGAAAGCCACGGCUAACUACGUGCCAGCAGCCGCGGUAAUACGUAGGUGGCAAGCGUUGUCCGGAAUUAUUGGGCGUAAAGCGCGCGCAGGCGGUCCUUUAAGUCUGAUGUGAAAGCCCACGGCUCAACCGUGGAGGGUCAUUGGAACUGGGGGACUUGAGUGCAGAAGAGGAAAGUGGAAUUCCAAGUGUAGCGGUGAAAUGCGUAGAGAUUUGGAGGAACACCAGUGGCGAAGGCGACUUUCUGGUCUGUAACUGACGCUGAGGCGCGAAAGCGUGGGGAGCAAACAGGAUUAGAUACCCGGGUAGUC